Molecule: ribosomal RNA, 464 nt
Filed under: Crystallogobius linearis (crystal goby)
Lineage: Eukaryota; Metazoa; Chordata; Actinopteri; Gobiiformes; Gobiidae
Description: partial 12S ribosomal RNA
Rfam family: Bacterial small subunit ribosomal RNA
Source: RNAcentral
CUUGCCAGGAAACUACAAGCUCCAGCUUAAAACCCAAAGGACUUGGCGGUGCUUUAGACCCACCUAGAGGAGCCUGUUCUAGAACCGAUAACCCCCGUUAAACCUCACCCUCUCUUGUUUAUUCCGCCUAUAUACCGCCGUCGUCAGCCUACCCUGUGAGGGGCUAAUAGUGGGCAAAAUUGGUACAACCCAAAACGCCAGGUCGAGGUGUAGCGUAUGAGAGGGGAAGAAAUGGGCUACAUUCACUGCCCCAGUGUAAACGAAUGAUGUUUUGAAACACCCAUCUAAAGGAGGAUUUAGCAGUAAGCAGAGAAUAGAGAGCUCCGCUGAAACUGGCCCUGAAGCGCGCACACACCGCCCGUCACUCUCCUCAAUAACCCGCACAACUUAUAUAAACCACAAGAAUAUUAAAGAGGAGGCAAGUCGUAACAUGGUAAGUGUACCGGAAGGUGCACUUGGAAAAC